Molecule: transfer RNA, 72 nt
Filed under: Stegodyphus mimosarum
Lineage: Eukaryota; Metazoa; Arthropoda; Arachnida; Araneae; Eresidae
Rfam family: tRNA
About the family: Transfer RNA (tRNA) molecules are approximately 80 nucleotides in length. Their secondary structure includes four short double-helical elements and three loops (D, anti-codon, and T loops). Further hydrogen bonds mediate the characteristic L-shaped molecular structure. tRNAs have two regions of fundamental functional importance: the anti-codon, which is responsible for specific mRNA codon recognition, and the 3' end, to which the tRNAs corresponding amino acid is attached (by aminoacyl-tRNA synthetases). tRNAs cope with the degeneracy of the genetic code in two manners: having more than one tRNA (with a specific anti-codon) for a particular amino acid; and 'wobble' base-pairing, i.e. permitting non-standard base-pairing at the 3rd anti-codon position.
Source: Rfam by way of RNAcentral
GCCUUCGUGGUGUAGUGGUCAGCACACUCAACGCGUAACCCAGAGGUCUUGGUUCGAUUUCCGGCGAAGGCG